Molecule: ribosomal RNA, 301 nt
Filed under: uncultured bacterium
Lineage: Bacteria
Description: partial 16S ribosomal RNA
Rfam family: Bacterial small subunit ribosomal RNA
Source: RNAcentral
CAGUAGCCGCGGUAAUACAGAGGGUGCGAGCGUUAAUCGGAUUUACUGGGCGUAAAGCGUGCGUAGGCGGCUUCUUAAGUCGGAUGUGAAAUCUCUGAGCUUAACUUAGGAAUUGCAUUCGAUACUGGGAAGCUAGAGUAUGGGAGAGGAUGGUAGAAUUCCAGGUGUAGCGGUGAAAUGCGUAGAGAUCUGGAGGAAUACCGAUGGCGAAGGCAGCCAUCUGGCCUAAUACUGACGCUGAGGUACGAAAGCAUGGGGAGCAAACAGGAUUAGAUACCCCCGUAGUCCCUGUCUCUUAUAC